This 508-nucleotide ribosomal RNA is filed under the name uncultured Thalassovita sp. RNAcentral's name for it is "bacterial SSU rRNA". It matches the Rfam family "Bacterial small subunit ribosomal RNA", at positions 538 to 1050 of the family's 1533-position model. The record is from RNAcentral. Lineage: Bacteria; Pseudomonadati; Pseudomonadota; Alphaproteobacteria; Rhodobacterales; Roseobacteraceae.
GCGUUGUUCGGAAUUACUGGGCGUAAAGCGCGCGUAGGCGGGCUAGUAAGUUAGAGGUGAAAUCCCAGGGCUCAACCCUGGAACUGCCUUUAAUACUGCUAGUCUUGAGUUCGAGAGAGGUGAGUGGAAUUCCGAGUGUAGAGGUGAAAUUCGUAGAUAUUCGGAGGAACACCAGUGGCGAAGGCGGCUCACUGGCUCGAUACUGACGCUGAGGUGCGAAAGUGUGGGGAGCAAACAGGAUUAGAUACCCUGGUAGUCCACGCCGUAAACGAUGUUCACUCGCUGUUGGCGAUAUACUGUCAGCGGCCAAGCGAAAGCAUUAAGUGAACCACCUGGGGAGUACGAUCGCAAGGUUGAAACUCAAAGGAAUUGACGGGGGCCCGCACAAGCGGUGGAGCAUGUGGAUUAAUUCGAUGAUACGCGAGGAACCUUACCAGGGCUUAAAUGAUAAUUGACCGUCGCCGAAAGGUGUCUUUCUUUUAGACAAGUAUCAAGGUGCUGCAUGGCU